This is a long non-coding RNA of Thamnophis elegans (Western terrestrial garter snake), 1672 nucleotides long. RefSeq lists it as uncharacterized. NCBI's taxonomy places the organism in Eukaryota, Metazoa, Chordata, Lepidosauria, Squamata, Natricidae. The transcript has 3 exons. The record is from RefSeq and is a predicted model, not a curated record.
GCUGUUACUGCAGCCGAGGCGGGGAAGCCGCGGGAAAGCCAGACCAGCUAGCGGUGUCUUUCCUGCAGCCGGCGGCGUAAUCCACCGCCGUGCCCAAGCCGACGGCUCCCUUAACACCAGCGCUUGGGCGCCCCGCUGAUGUCGAGAAAAGGGACAAGUAGAAAUGCCCCAACUGGUUGCAUUGCAGAGUUGAUUCCGGUCCAAAAGCAAAAUACCAAAAUCGUCCAAAGAUUUAGUGGAAGAUAAAGACCCUUUUUGGGGGCAGGGAAAAUCAUGCUUUAAUUGAUAUCCUCCGGAAGUGUUUGACUCCCUAACUCAACUCCCUAACUUGGCAAGCCGAGGACCUGAAGCUCAACGUCUCUGAAAGGUGCCAGCUUGGUGAAGUCGAGAAUGAAAGACGUUUUCAGUCGACUUUGUCUCAAGUCAAUUUAAAAUGGCCGGGUCUCUUGUGCUCCUCUCCCUGAAGGGAGGUUAUCCAUUUAGCAAGCCAUUAAGAGACUUCCAGAAACAUUAAGGCUCAUUCAGUUGCUCCCCAGCCACUCAUUCGUAGUGAUAAUCUGGUGGUGCAACUCGCAACAAUGGAGGAUUUCAACAACAUGGCCCCACUUAAGUCUGGCGAAUGUUUUUCCUACGUGUGGGGAAAUAACUCUCAGCCUGAGGUUCGUAGGGUCUUACUCAUUACAUAUGAAGGACAGAUCAGUCUUUUACAGUAAAUAGUUAUGUGCCUUUAAAAACCUUCUAGAAGCUUGGCGAUUGUUGCCACACAGGAAAGACAUUGCUGGAGUAAUGGAAUGUAAAAGGCUUGGGAUGUUCCAUGAUAGAGAUUUCGAUUAGACAAAACAGACAUGACUUUAGUCUGUGGGUCCUCAAACUAUGGCCUGAGGGCCACAUGCUGCCCACCGAAGCCAUUAAUUCGGCCCACAAAGGACCACGAGGCUGACCCACCCAACCUUCAGCCUCAGGAGGCCAAAAAAUGGGUGAAAAUGACCCGUUUUUGGUCAAAAAACGGGCCAUUUUUGUCCAUUUUUUUCCUGAAGAAUGCUUUUGGAGGCAGGAGGUGAAGAAUGGGGUGCAUAGAUGCCUUGGGAGGCCAGGAAACGGAUGAAAACGACCCAUUUUUGGUCAAAAAAUGGGCCAUUUUUGUCCAUUUUUUGCCUGAAGAAUGCUUUUGGAGGCGGGAGGUGAAGAAUGGGGUGCAUAGAUGCCUCGGGAGGCCAAGAAACGGGUGAAAACGACCCAUUUUUGGUCAAAAAACGGGCCAUUUUUGUCCGGUUUUUGCCUGAAGAAUGCUUUUGGAGGCAGGGGAGGUGAAGAAUGGGGUGCAUAGAUGCCUCGGGAGGCCAAGAAACGGGCAAAAAUGACCCAUUUUUGGCCAAAAGUGGGCCAUGUUCUCCAGGUUUUUGCUUGCAGAAUGCUUCUGGAGGCAGGGGAGGUGAAGAAUGGGGUGCAUAGAUGCCCCAGGAGGCCAAAAAAUGGGCCCAAUUUUCACCUCCCCAACCUCCAGAAGAUAAAUAGAGAGACAGAGAGAGACUUGUUGAUUGUAAGCUCCUUGGGGCUGAGAAGAAUAGCUGCAAUACUGAGUUUCCUGAAAUGGACCACUAAAUUCCUAAACAACUGAAAAAAACGAUCUAGUAGGAAGAGAAGACAACCAAAAGAGCAACAUGCAACAAAA